GUGUCAGCAGCCGCGGUAAAACGUAGGUACCGAGCGUUAUCCGGAUUCACUGGGCGUAAAGCGCGUGCAGGUGGUUUGGUAAGUCGGGCAUGAAAACUCUUGGCUCAACUGAGAGACGCUGUCCGAUACUGCCGGACUUGAGGGUGUAAGAGGGAGGUGGAAUUCCGCAUGUAGUGGUGAAAUGCGUAGAUAUGCGGAGGAACACCAGUGGCGAAGGCGGCCUCCUGGUACACUCCUGACACUCAGACGCGAAAGCUAGGGGAGCGAACGGGAUUAGAAACCCCCGUAGUCC
This 292-nucleotide ribosomal RNA is filed under the name uncultured bacterium. RNAcentral describes it as "partial 16S ribosomal RNA". It matches the Rfam family "Bacterial small subunit ribosomal RNA", at positions 505 to 796 of the family's 1533-position model. The record is from RNAcentral.